UCCUUAACAGCUAGCCCCCCCCCCCGCUAAAACAACCCCCUAUAAAUAUUUACUCAUUAUUUCUUCCCUAACAAACCAUUUUUCCCCCCUAGUACUGGGCGAUAGAAAAGGGCCUACGGAGCUACAGAGAAAGUACCGCAAGGGAAAGCUGAAAGAGAAAUGAAACAACUACCCCAAGCCAAAUAAAGCAGAGACCACCACUCGUACCUUUUGCAUCAUGACUUAGCUAGUAUAUCUGAGCAAAGAGACCUUUAGUACAGACCCCCGAAACUAGACGAGCUACUUCAAGACAGCCUAUGUUGGGCGAACCCGUCUCUGUGGCAAAAGAGUGGAAAGAGCUUCAAGUAGAGGUGACAAACCUAUCGAGCCUAGUUAUAGCUGGUUGCCUGGGAAAUGGAUAGAAGUUCAGCCUCCCGAUAACCCUCAGUCCCGUAAAUACUAUUUAACCCAGACCACAGGAUCACUCGAGAGAGUUAGUCGAAGAGGGUACAGCCCCUUCGAAAAAGGACACAACCUCCCAGGGAGAUAAAAGAUCAUACUUCACUUAAAGGAAGCCUGUUCAAGUGGGCCUAAAAGCAGCCACCUAAAAAGAAAGCGUUAAAGCUCAGACACUCCAUACACCCCUUAAUACCGAACCAAACUCUAAACUCCCCACCCCCUACCAGGCCGUUCCAUGCAAGCAUGGAAAAGACCCUGCUAAGAUGAGUAAUAAGAGGGACAGCCCCUCUCCAAUGCACAAGUGUACCUCGGAACGGACCCCCCACCGACAGUCAACGACCCCAACCCAAGAGGGCAGUGUAAGACCACACAAAUACCUAGAAAACCCAACACGAACCGAAUCGUUAGCCCUACACAGGUGUGCAGCCCAGGAAAGACUAAAAUAAAGGGAAGGAACUCGGCAAACACAAGCCUCGCCUGUUUACCAAAAACAUCGCCUCUUGCAAAAACGAAGAAUAAGAGGUCCCGCCUGCCCUGUGACUAUAUGUUUAACGGCCGCGGUAUUUUGACCGUGCGAAGGUAGCGCAAUCACUUGUCUUUUAAAUGGAGACCUGUAUGAAAGGCACCACGAGGGCUUAACUGUCUCCCCUUUAAAGUCAAUGAAAUUGAUCUCCCCGUGCAGAAGCGGGGAUAGCCUCGUAAGACGAGAAGACCCUAUGGAGCUUAAGACACAAGGCGGCCCACGUCAAGUACCCUAAUUUAAAACAAUAAACAAAGUGUUACACCCGCCGAAAUGUCUUUGGUUGGGGCGACCGCGGGGAAAGAAAAAACCCCCACGUGGACCGGGGCUACACACCCUAAAACCGAGACCCACAGCUCAAAGCAGCAGAACUUCUGACCAUUAAAGAUCCGGCAAUGCCGAUCAACGGACCGAGUUACCCUAGGGAUAACAGCGCAAUCCCCUCCCAGAGCCCAUAUCGACGAGGGGGUUUACGACCUCGAUGUUGGAUCAGGACAUCCUAAUGGUGCAGCCGCUAUUAAGGGUUCGUUUGUUCAACGAUUAAAGUCCUACGUGAUCUGAGUUCAGACCGGAGUAAUCCAGGUCAGUUUCUAUCUACGUAAUGAUCUCUUCUAGUACGAAAGGACCGAAAAGAAGAAGCCACUGCCGACGGCACGCCUCUCCCCCAACUAAUGAAUACAAAUAAAAUAGGAAAGGGGGCAUAUCCUUCUUGCCCUAGAGAAGGGCAU
RNAcentral lists this ribosomal RNA (1686 nucleotides) under Neoscopelus microchir. Its description in RNAcentral is "16S rRNA". It matches the Rfam family "Bacterial large subunit ribosomal RNA", at positions 268 to 2837 of the family's 2925-position model. Lineage: Eukaryota; Metazoa; Chordata; Actinopteri; Myctophiformes; Neoscopelidae. The record is from RNAcentral.